CUACCGCGGUCGCUGUUGGUGGCGCCGCCGGGCCUGCGACUAGGUGGCAUCCUUCAGACACUAUAGGCCGUCUCUGCACACGUGAUGCGGGGCUCGGUCACGUUGCCCCCUGGAAGCUUGAGGAUGCGCCAGGUUUGACUCUGCAGGGCGUACGCGCUUUAGGGAUGGAAGGAAGAGGAACGCGGCAGGAAGGCGAGCCCCAAGGUGGAGAAUCGCCUGGGCGCGCAGGCUGCGGCGGCUUCGCACAGCCGCCCUGGGCGCUGCACGGGUCCGCGCGCACCCUGCUGCGCACCCACUCGCGGCCAGCUCCCUACAGAGGAGUGGAGUGACUGCUCGACUACCACCCCUCUUUUAGUGUGAGCGUCUGGAGUCCUGACCGCCCCAGCCAGCCCAGCUACGAUGAACUGUCUAAGAGGAUGUGGCAAGACCCAGAAGUAUGGGUGACCUUAUGUCAGAGGAAGUGGCUUUCUUAUUGCAGCAAAAAUUCCCGUACCAAUGUCAGUGCUAGGAUGGAGUUUCACUGUGUCACCCAGGCUGGAGUGCAGUGGCACGAUCUCAGCUCAAUGCAACCUCUGUCUCCUGGGUUCAAGCAAAUCUCCUGCCUCAGCCUCUUGAGUAGCCUGAGUAGCUGGGACUAAAGCCCUGCUUUGGAGCAGUUGGGAACUUCAGCAUUUUGAUCCACCUUUUUGGAGCCACCUCAUGUGAAAGAUGGAUGAGACCUUCGUCAGCAAACCUGUCUACGUAGGAGCUGGUAUGAGGAUCACACAAUGCAAGCAAAUAAAAUGAGAAAAGAUGAUUCAACAAGAGGCUUCACUGAUUUACUGUUUAACUGCUUUGACCAAAGUGCUUGGUUCUUAUAUGAAUAAGAAAGGGGAUGAGUUAUCCACCAGAAUGAAAGUUAUAUUCUGGUUUGAAGCUUCUGCUGUCAGAUAAUAUAGUUUUCUAUAGUGUGGAAGAACAGCAUCAUCUUCAAGCAAGGUGGAAUUAAGCAUGGACAGAACUGUGUUUCUCACCCAGGAGGAGGGUAGGUUUUUUUUUCUUUUUUACUUCUUAAAACUUAUUUUAAUAUUAUUCUUCCCUCCCCCACCCCAUUGGGAAAAGGCUAAAACAAUCUGGAUGGGUUUAAUUAGAAAUUAAUACAUACUGUCAUUGUAUAAAGUAAAUCAACAUUGUGGCAACAAGGGACUAUUCUUGGAAAAAGUGAAACCCAUAUUAACAAAAUAUGUCAUGGAAGAUCCCCACAUAGUGAUUUCACUGGCUGCCUGAAAGACAGACAGUGUAAAGGUCGAUGUUCUGCAUGUUCUCUGGGGCUUGUCCAUGCAACGGAAGAAGGUCUUUCCCAGACUCAGCCAAGCCUAGUUAGCUCCAACCAGGCCCUAGACCAAAAGCAAGGGAAGAGCACAUCCUUUCAAUAGAAUAAGGGUAGAAAGGGAUUCUCUGAAUGUAGUAACUAUGAAGCUAUGCCAAAGGUAGGCAGAAAAUGGGCUUGGGAGCCAGACACUCCAGGGUUCAGUAGUUCCUACCCACAGUCUUUGUGUGCUUGCUAAAUGGUGUACAUUUCUUGUUAACCACGUUAUUAAAACUUGAUCAGCAUGUAAGCUUUCUUCUGUUAGAUCUUUUGGCAGCAAACAACCUUCCCCCCAAGCCUCUGAAUUUUGGAGGAGGGUAGGCUUGAUGAAUUGUUUAGAAAUUUUGUGUUUGGUGGUGGCAGGAGGGGAGGGAUCAUGCGGCCUUCUGGUCACAAGCAAGCCUGCAGAAGAUUCAGUGGCCUUUCCAGUUGACUUAGACAGCCUGUGUCCCUGGUGUCACUGACUGGCACCUAUAGCAAUACUUGGUGUUAUUUAGCUUCUUGUCACAUACAACUUUCUUCUCUUCUUUCCUUCAAUUGUCCCUUUCCUCCUGACUUCUGUGAGGGAUAGCAGGAUUGAGGCCACAGGCUGCCACUCAGGGCAUUCACUCUCUGAUAAGAGUCAGUAAGGCAGAGCCACUGGUGCCCCCUGAACCCCUGCUGCAGGUGGGCAGAGGCUGGGCUGCUAGUGUGGUAUCCAAAGGACAGUAGCUGUGCUCACUAUGGCAGAGUCUAAUUUUGAGAUGUUGGGGAUUCUGGAGAAGAAACAUUUUGUGUGCUGCUGAGUCAUUAGGAAUUGACCAUUAUAGGUAGUAAAUAGCAGAACAGAAGAAAGAAACAAGACUGAUCAUGAAAUAAUUGGAGCGAGGAGUUCUGCUGACUGUAACAAUGUAAGACAUUUGCAUGUACAUUGUGUGGUUGAUUAGGAAAGAAGCUCUUUGUUCUGAAAUGUCUUCAUCAGUGAAAGUUGAAGAGAUAUGCUCAGCUGGGAUACAGUGAACUCAAUCUACUCCUCCAGGACUGGAUCUGCAGAACUCAGAUCUACCUUCCAUGACAGCUUCUGGCCGUUGGCAUACAGAGCUCUCCUCUCUCUCUGCACGUAGCUUGUCACUCACUCAGCUUGUAUUGAUGGGGUGGGGCAGUCUCAGAUUGUUUUAUAGGUGCAAUUAUUUAACUUCUUUAGAUGAGGGUUGUGCUUUAUGUUACUCUCUGAAGCCUCAUUUAUUUGCCACAUGGUGGGUACAUGAAGAUACAUGCUAAAUGAAAGUUGUGCAAAGAGCUCUGAACUUGGAGGCAGAUGACCUUGGACUUUUACUCAGUCUGUGUUACACAUGAGCUUGGAUAAGACUGAUCUUUCAGCUUUCUUCAGACCUUAAGCAUGAGAUAUAAAACAAGUAGAACAUAUAAAUAAAUAGAAGAAAAUAUACACAAAUAUUACAUGAUCUUUGAAUUGUAAGACUCACUAAGCAUAAAUGCCACUGAAGAAACCACAAAGAAGAGAUUUGCCAGUAUGGAAAGCUUUUUAAUUCUAUAUAUCAGAAAAUAUAAUAAAAUUAAGAGGCAAAUGACCUAUUGAGAAAAAUACUUCUACUUGGUAAGUCGAAGUAUAGAAAAUAAGCAAAAGAUACAGUUCACAAAGAAAAAAAUACAAUCAGCUGAUAAAUAUAUGUGGUCAAAGAAGUACACUUUAAAUCUACAGUGAGAUACUUUUUAAUCAGCUCAAAUUUUCAGGGGGACCCAUUCAGUCUUAUAUGAUGCUGGUGGAAGUGGAAAUUUCCUGGAGCAGUGUGUAUUAAGAGCCAUAAAAAUG
RNAcentral lists this long non-coding RNA (3158 nucleotides) under Homo sapiens (human). RNAcentral describes it as "non-protein coding lnc-TNFSF4-3:5". Lineage: Eukaryota; Metazoa; Chordata; Mammalia; Primates; Hominidae. The record is from RNAcentral.